This 256-nucleotide ribosomal RNA is filed under the name uncultured bacterium. Its description in RNAcentral is "partial 16S ribosomal RNA". It matches the Rfam family "Bacterial small subunit ribosomal RNA", at positions 524 to 777 of the family's 1533-position model. The record is from RNAcentral.
UACGUAGGGGGCUAGCGUUGUCCGGAAUCAUUGGGCGUAAAGCGCGUGUAGGCGGUCCGGUAAGUCCGCUGUGAAAGUCGGGGGCUCAACCCUCGGAUGCCGGUGGAUACUGUCGGACUAGAGUACAGAAGGGGCAACUGGAAUUCUCGGUGUAGCGGUGAAAUGCGUAGAUAUCGAGAGGAACACCUGCGGCGAAGGCGGGUUGCUGGGCUGAUGACUGACGCUGGAGGCGCGAAAGCCAGGGGAGCAAAACGGG